AGCUCUCACUGCCCUGUGAAGGACCUAGCACAGUGUCUGACACAUGGGAGAUGCUUAUUACAUCCCCAUUGGGUGAGUGACUUGCAGGGAGAAGGCUGAGGGUAGAAGCUUGUUGCAGGUACAGGGAACAGAAUCCUAGGAGGAACUGACAACCCAACCUCCAAUUCUUGGCUGCCCACUCCCUUCUAUCAGAGAGACACAGUAACCAGAGAAGUUGAUGUUACUGUCCUUGAGCAACCAAGGAGGAAC
Molossus molossus (Pallas's mastiff bat) is the source of this 249-nucleotide long non-coding RNA. RefSeq lists it as uncharacterized. The transcript has 3 exons. NCBI's taxonomy places the organism in Eukaryota, Metazoa, Chordata, Mammalia, Chiroptera, Molossidae. The record is from RefSeq and is a predicted model, not a curated record.